CGUUGGGUCUUUGGCAAUGUGCGGCUCCGAACCCCGCCAGGUCCGGAAGGAAGCAACGGUAGGAGCUUAGCCCAUGUGUUCGAAGGUGCCCAACGGCU
RNAcentral lists this signal recognition particle RNA (98 nucleotides) under Deltaproteobacteria bacterium. RNAcentral's name for it is "signal recognition particle sRNA small type". It matches the Rfam family "Bacterial small signal recognition particle RNA". From Rfam's summary of the family: The signal recognition particle (SRP) is a universally conserved ribonucleoprotein involved in the co-translational targeting of proteins to membranes. Archaeal SRP consists of a 7S RNA and homologues of the eukaryotic SRP19 and SRP54 proteins. Lineage: Bacteria; Pseudomonadati; Myxococcota; Myxococcia. The record is from RNAcentral.